AGAGAGAGACAUGCGCGCAUAUCAAUAAGCGGAGGAAAAGAAACUAACUAAGGAUUCCCUUAGUAACGGCGAGUGAAGCGGGAAGAGCUCAAAUUUGAAAUCUUCAAGGUUCUACCUUGACGAAUUGUAGUUUAUAGAAGUGUUUUCAUGUUAGUGGAGUGGCAAAAGUUCUUUGGAAUAGGACAUCAUAGAGGGUGAGAAUCCCGUAUUUGGUCAUUCCUCCUAGCGUUGUGAUACACUUUCAACGAGUCGGAUUGUUUGGGAAUGCAGUCCAAGAUGGGUGGUAAAUUUCAUCUAAAGCUAAAUAUUGGCGAGAGACCGAUAGCGAACAAGUACCGUGAGGGAAAGAUGAAAAGAACUUUGAAAAGAGAGUUAAACAGUACGUGAAAUUGUCAAAAGGGAAGCGUUUGACACCAGUGUUGUUUAGUUGAAAAUCAAUUCAAUAGUUUUUGAUUCUAAGUAGUAUUGACUUCAUCAGCUUGCUGCUUUCUUCUCAGAAAUUAUUGAAUGCACUUUUCAGUUAACAAGUCAACAUCAAUUUCUUUUGUUGUAAAAGGGUAAGAGGAAGGUGGCUUGCGCUUCGGCUCAAGUGUUUAUAGCCUUUUAUCUCUGCAAUCGGAGAGAUUGAGGUCUGCAGCGUAGAUCCUUCGGGGUUAGAUACAUUGGUGCUAAGCUAUAGCCUUGUAUAGACAACUUGUUGACUAUGCUCAGUCAUGUAGCUUACUCGCUGAUGCUAUUUUACCUACGCUUAGGAUGUUGAUAGUCACAGCGUGUAC
RNAcentral lists this ribosomal RNA (776 nucleotides) under uncultured Neocallimastigales. RNAcentral's name for it is "partial large subunit ribosomal RNA". It matches the Rfam family "Eukaryotic large subunit ribosomal RNA", at positions 23 to 644 of the family's 3401-position model. The record is from RNAcentral. Lineage: Eukaryota; Fungi; Neocallimastigomycota; Neocallimastigomycetes; Neocallimastigales.